CAAGUGGAGGCGCUGAGGAGCCAGAACCUGUUCCUGGUGCUGGCCCUCAAGGCCCAGAGAGAGCAGGACCAGGAUCUGGACAACAGCCCCACGGAGACUCCCAUGGAUAUGGAGGGGAUGGCGGAGGAGUGCUGGCCACCCUGGAGGGGGCAGAAGCCUGUCCUCUCAAGCCAUCCUCGCAAGGUUUCCUUCCUGUGAAGCAGUGUGUGGUUCCUGAUGCACAAGGUAAUUCCCAUGUUACAAGAAGACAUGCAUAGGCCUCUUGCUUCAAAAGCAAGUCCCACAGUGAUGGGUGAAUGGCGAUGGGCGCAGACAUGUAUGAUUACCACAAGCCCCUGGUCACGGACCUUCCUUUAGUCACGGACCUGCACAUACAGAGCCAAUGACUAGAUGAUGAUGAUUUGUACUUUGAAUUGAGACAGGUGUGUAAUUAGGCAGUUGCAAUUAUACCCCUCCUCCGCAUAUCCCUCCUCAGCUUUGACAUAAAUAGGCUAGGUUAAGAGUCUACAAACAACUGCUUAUAAUGAAUUCACUACUGAUUUUUAGCUUAUUAAUGACCCCCAGAGACCAAGGCUUAUAUGAAGAAGGCCAUUUUGAUAUCAAGGAAAAUGGAUCCAGCAAUGGAAGAUAAUUGAUAUCAUUAAUAAUUUUCUUAUCAUGGACCCCACAUCUAAACCACCUUGUUCCCUUUUCCUAAGGCAGAGCUGGACUACAUUGAACAAGGUUCAUAUUGGAAAACUACCUGUUUUUUAAGUGGAAUUGUAUUAAAACCCCCAAGUAUGAGUGGGACAAAAUCCAAACUGUAUCACAUAUCAGAGAGGACUGUCCUAUCUGUCUUUGUCAUGAUUGCAUUGAAGACCUGCACCAGGCUGCUGAUGUUGCCUCUUCAUGAGUAUCAUACUUGAUACUGUCACUCUCGCCUUAUCACUCAGUGCCAUUGCUGAUAGGAUGCUUACAGCUUGUUCUGUUAUUCGUAUGCUGUACUCCAUAGGAUUCAAAGCAAAAAAUGAAAUGAAAGAAAGCCGUUGUGUAAGACCUCUGCUCACAACCCUGGCUCCUAUUUGACUCUAUCAUAGUGCAUGGCAAAGUCCACCUCAGCACGGCUACAAUCUGAGCAGUGCAGGAACCCAGCUGCUAUAACAGACGUAGCAGAAGUGCUCACGUCACGGCACGGUCAGAUCCUGACAAUCUGCAGGUUCUGCUGAAUCCCUGUCAUCGACUGUCUCAGGCAGGACACGAGAAGUGGAGGAGAAGACAACCAGCCCCAACAGCUGCUGGAUAGAUCCUUGUUUGAUAUGUCCCCCCAUGCCCAUCCGCUUGGCCACAGAAUGAUGUCAGCAAAAGAAGCAACCAAAGAAGAGGUUCAAUGUCAAGUGCUUCGAAACCUGCUAAAAGACAUCACCUCCAGCAGUGCCUGAGGGAGAAACGUGCCAAGUGCCCUGAUGCUCUUGAUACCACUGAUCACUCAGGAAAGAGCGAGAGCUUCAAGAAAGGCAUCCAUGAGGCAUGCCAUUGAUCCAAGGCUCCCCGACAAACAAACAUCAGGACUGGUUCAAUGAGAAUGACAGCCUUCAAAUGUAUGUCUUUCAAAUAGACACAAGACACAACAACAUCAACUUUAAAUAGAAGUGCCUGCAUCAGUGAUCUUCAGUACAGAUCAUUCAUUCAAUGGCCCCUUCCAAAUGGACAGUUUUGCACACACAAGUGAAGAAUGGUUUUUCCCUUUUGUGUGUGUUAGAAAAAGGCUCCACUGAAUAAGUGUUUAAUGUGUAACAUGUAAUAGAAAGAUGGGAUAAUUUAUUAUGCCAGUGCUGCAAAUCCUUAUUAAGGCUUCCCUGGGCUCACAUAAGGGCUGCUCUGAAGAGAAGGUGCCUCGGUUUGGUUUAGCACAUCAUUCUGCACGUUCCCUUGUCAUUGCUUUCCAUUUGCCCUUAGGGUUUUUUCCCCUCUACUUGCCAGAGGAGUCUGAUCCCUUCCUCUGGCUGGAACAGGGCCAGGUUUCAGGUGGCAGAUUACAUCAGGAUUUCUAUGCAGGUACUGUCCAUUUGGGACCUUUCACCUCUGAGGUCCAACUCCCUGGCCUGACACAUGCAGAGAUCCCAGUAAAAGUGAGGACAUGGGGUCCCUCAGUGCUGUGGCAACUUGUGGCAUCCAAGCCUGUCCUCUUCCCACCUCUUGUCUCCAUGAGAUAUAAAUGUCACCUGGGAAAUGUCCGGGUUAUCCUCUCCUUGCUCUUUUGGUGCUCAGGAUCAGUCCUGCUGUGAGCAUCUCACCAGAGCAUGUCCACAUGAGAUACCACGGCUUCAAUUUCCCCUGGAGAGGCCAUGGCUGGUCACGAGCCCUGUUCUGCAGGGCACUGCUGUAUCCAGCCAUCUUUUCCUUCUAGCACUGGAGUCACUGGGAUUCAUGGCAAGAAAUCAGGGUCCCAGUUCAUCCCAACUCACCACUCCGGCAGGGUCCCCUCUAGGAUACCUUGCUUGAAGUCUUCCCCAGGACCAGAUCCAGGAAGACAGAGCAGGCCAGAGACCACAAGAGAAGUUGACACCAUGCUACACCUGCCAUUGCUGAAGAGGUGCGUUGUCUGCCAAUAGCAGAGGGCUAGGGGAGGGCCUGACUGCCCCUUACUGGUGACCAGCAAGCAGGUGGGACAGUCUGCAGCACAGGACAGGAGCAUCUCUAGAGUAGGCAGGAGCUGCCUUGUGAUGGGUGGAGGUGAUACGAGGAGAGGAGCAUGAGGGGAGAUGCUGAUUAAAUGUUAGAGGCAGGUGGCCCUGACAGUCUAUCAGGAGCUAUUUUAACAGCAGACUGCAGGGCUGGGUACAUGGAAGGGGCUGGGCCUCGCUUUGGUAUUCAAUUUAAUGCUCAUGAAACUCUAACUUCAAGCGAUAAUUAAAAUAAGGACAAACCAUGUGGGAAAAGCUUUCCAUCCAUGUUAAAUAGUUUCCCAUCACGGAGAUGCCACCACUCCUCUAGGCAGCCUGAUCCAAUGUCUGGCCUUUCUCAUGGUCAGAAAGUCCCUGGUGAGGCCUCCCCAGUGCUGAAUAGAGGGGAAGAGUCAUUUCCCUUGACAAACACGUGACGGUCCUGUGC
Long non-coding RNA from Alligator mississippiensis (American alligator), 3090 nucleotides. RefSeq lists it as uncharacterized. Lineage: Eukaryota; Metazoa; Chordata; Crocodylia; Alligatoridae. The transcript is spliced from 3 exons. The record is from RefSeq and is a predicted model, not a curated record.